UCAGAUAGUCGGGGAACUCGACUAUAGCGUUCUCUCUUGUUUUAACCUUAUUACUAGCCGAGAGAGUCAGACGAGAGUCUAAUCUGAAGCGUCCACUUGUCCUCUGUACAAUUAACAAAUAAGUUAAGUGGGCUAUUCUCUGAAAAAGCAAGUCGUUUUCAGAGUGUCCAUAGAAUAUGAAGAUCUCUUAACUUGAAAUCGCUUAGUAAGGACAGUCGCAAAACAGCAGCGGCAGAUUUCCGAAUAUGAUGCAAUAAAGACUGUAAAUUUAUGUAGCUCACAAAUCCAUCAAAAUGUUCGAAAAGGUGUGACCACUACGACAGUCUAUCACGGACAUAGCCGGGCCCGAAAAAGUGAGGAAAGAUGGUCUGCGGAUGAAGAGCGGACUCCUACACCCAAUGAAUUGCACUAAAUUCAGAAACGUGCUGGGCAUAUCAAGAUCUAUAGACAGCCGGCUACUUAAAGACUUUGCAUUGCUUUAGAAAAUGUCAUAAAUCUUGCUGGUCGAAGCCGAAUCGAGUCACGCAUUAUAAUGACCUGGGCAGAUCCAUUUAACAAGUCCAAAGUGAACUUGUUUUCAACAAUACAAUUUGCUUAUAAAUAGCAUAAAAUACAAUUAAA
This is a long non-coding RNA of Drosophila teissieri, 621 nucleotides long. RefSeq lists it as uncharacterized. The transcript has 2 exons. The record is from RefSeq and is a predicted model, not a curated record. NCBI's taxonomy places the organism in Eukaryota, Metazoa, Arthropoda, Insecta, Diptera, Drosophilidae.